Molecule: ribosomal RNA, 460 nt
Filed under: uncultured bacterium
Lineage: Bacteria
Description: partial 16S ribosomal RNA
Rfam family: Bacterial small subunit ribosomal RNA
Source: RNAcentral
CCUACGGGAGGCAGCAGUGAGGAAUAUUGCUCAAUGGACGAGAGUCUGAACCAGCCAAGUAGCGUGAAGGAUGACUGCCCUAUGGGUUGUAAACUUCUUUUAUAUGGGAAUAAAAUGUUCCACGUGUGGGCUUUUGUAUGUACCAUAUGAAUAAAGAUCGGCUAACUCCGUGCCAGCAGCCCCGGUAAUACGGAGGAUCCGAGCGUUAUCCGGAUUUAUUGGGUUUAAAGGGAGCGUAGGCGGAUUCUUAAGUCAGUUGUGAAAGUCUGCGGCUCAACCGUAAAAUUGCAGUUGAAACUGGGAGUCUUGAGUACAGUAGAGGUGGGCGGAAUUCGAGGUGUAGCGGUGAAAUGCUUAGAUAUCACGAAGAACUCCGAUUGCGAAGGCAGCCCAUUGGACUGGAACUGACACUGAGGCUCGAAAGUGUGGGUAUCAAACAGGAUUAGAUACCCCAGUAGUC